GUCGUGGUAGCCUAGCCUGGUCAAGGCGCAGGGUUGCUAACUCUGUGGCUCACCGCCUCCGGGGUUCAAAUCCCCGCCACGACG
This 84-nucleotide transfer RNA is filed under the name Halarchaeum rubridurum. Its description in RNAcentral is "halophilic archaeon MH1-16-3 tRNA". It matches the Rfam family "tRNA". From Rfam's summary of the family: Transfer RNA (tRNA) molecules are approximately 80 nucleotides in length. The record is from Rfam by way of RNAcentral. RNAcentral also lists the same sequence under 5 other names. Lineage: Archaea; Methanobacteriati; Methanobacteriota; Halobacteria; Halobacteriales; Halobacteriaceae.